UUCUAGGGCCCUACCAUCCUGAAGGCGCCUGUUCUUGUCUUGGAAGCUAAGCAGGAUCGGGCCUGGUUAGCACUUGGAUGGGAGUAUCCACCUCAAAGGGUAGUCGUGAGGGUUCUUUGAGC
RNAcentral lists this ribosomal RNA (122 nucleotides) under Microcebus murinus (gray mouse lemur). Lineage: Eukaryota; Metazoa; Chordata; Mammalia; Primates; Cheirogaleidae. The record is from RNAcentral.